ACGUGUUCGAACGGGGAGGCCGAGCCGCCCCGCACCGGCGGAGACGCCGUGCUGCGGGCGGUCCGGUCGCCUCUUCCAAACCAAACCCCUGUGCACCUCUGGGAAGGCGCGGUUCUGCCGCGUCGGCCCCCUUUCACAAACUCUUGUGUAACUCUUGAAUGACCGCGGACGUCGUCCGUCUAAUACAUCAUAA
Molecule: unclassified non-coding RNA, 193 nt
Filed under: uncultured Trechisporales
Lineage: Eukaryota; Fungi; Basidiomycota; Agaricomycetes; Trechisporales
Description: sequence contains ITS1
Source: RNAcentral